UACAGAGGGUGCGAGCGUUAAUCGGAAUUACUGGGCGUAAAGCGUGCGUAGACGGUGGCGUAAGUCGGGUGUGAAAGCCCCGGGCUCAACCUGGGAACUGCAUUUGUGACUGCAUGGCUGGAGUGCGGCAGAGGGGGAUGGAAUUCCGCGUGUAGCAGUGAAAUGCGUAGAUAUGCGGAGGAACACCGAUGGCGAAGGCAAUCCCCUGGGCCUGCACUGACGCUCAUGCACGAAAGCGUGGGGAGCAAACAGG
This 253-nucleotide ribosomal RNA is filed under the name uncultured bacterium. Its description in RNAcentral is "partial 16S ribosomal RNA". It matches the Rfam family "Bacterial small subunit ribosomal RNA", at positions 524 to 776 of the family's 1533-position model. The record is from RNAcentral.